RNAcentral lists this ribosomal RNA (496 nucleotides) under uncultured bacterium. RNAcentral describes it as "bacterial SSU rRNA". It matches the Rfam family "Bacterial small subunit ribosomal RNA", at positions 31 to 507 of the family's 1533-position model. The record is from RNAcentral.
UAGAACGCUAGCGGCAGGCUUAAUACAUGCAAGUCGAGGGGCAUCAAGGUACACGAAAGUGUAUUGUUGGCGACCGGCGGACGGGUGAGUAAUAGGUAGGUAACCUAACCUCAUACUGAGGCAUAGCUGGGAGAAAUUCCAGGUAAUUCCUCAUGAGGUUAUAUGACACAUGUGAUAUAAUCAAAGGUAUCGCAAGGUACUGGUAUGAGAUGGGCUUACUGACCAUUAGCUAGUUGGUGAGAUAAGAGCUCACCAAGGCGAAGAUGGUUAGGGGUUUUGAGAGAGAGAUCCCCCACAUUGGAACUGAGAUACGGUCCAGACUCCUACGGGAGGCAGCAGUAGGGAAUAUUGGGCAAUGGGCGGAAGCCUGACCCAGCCAUGCCGCGUGAAGGAAGACGGCCUUAUGGGUUGUAAACUUCUUUACUAUGCGACUAACUAGAUUUACGAGAUAAUUCUAUAGAAUGUAGCAUAGCAAAAAGCACCGGCUAACUCCGUG